GAAGAAUUUGAAUACUAGGCUAGUGUAGUUUACUUAAUAUCAUUGGAAGUUUUUGUUAUUGUACUUAAUAUGGGAGUGAUUCGUUUGAAAUGCCACUUAGACACACCCUCUUCAGCUAACAUAGGAUAUGAGCUUCAAUUCCAGAAACUCUUAGGCAUUCACCAAUGCAAUCAAGGCAUCAGUUGUCAGAGCAGGCCAUUUGUGCAGCCAACAUCAAAUUAUCCAGUACUCGCUAUGUUCCAGGCACUCUGCUUUACUUUCAUUGCCUUGUCCUCCAGGAGCUCACAGUCCACUGGGGAAGAGAAGCAGUUAGCAAAGCAUUCUAAUACAAUGUGGAAAGUCGAUAAUAGAGAGAGGAAUAAAGCAUCUUGGCUACAUUAAGAAGGGAAUACUAACCCUGCCUGAGUGAGCCUAGAAGGACUUCACUGAGGAAAUAACAUAUGCAUUAAUCCUUGAAGAAUGAGCAAUAAGUAGCCUACCAGGCAGAUAAUUUCAUUUAAAAAAAAGAUUUUAUGCAUGGAGAGAGAAACACCAAAAUUAUGAAAAUGCAAGAGAGAAUAGCAUGUCUGGAGACUAAUAGUAAGUAGUCUUGUGUUGUUCAGGUAUAAUAUAUAUGGUGUAGAAUCAUGGAAAUCAUGAA
This 640-nucleotide long non-coding RNA is filed under the name Pan troglodytes (chimpanzee). Its description in RNAcentral is "lncRNA (ENSPTRG00000053720.1)". The record is from RNAcentral. Lineage: Eukaryota; Metazoa; Chordata; Mammalia; Primates; Hominidae.